Molecule: ribosomal RNA, 1244 nt
Filed under: metagenome
Description: bacterial LSU rRNA
Rfam family: Bacterial large subunit ribosomal RNA
Source: RNAcentral
UGAGUACGAGAUGCUACGGCAUCGAAGCAGUCUAUGUCAUACUUCCAAGAAAAGCUUGCACUGUCAUAAACAAAGAAUGCCUGUACCAUAACCGACACAGGUGGGUAGGUAGAGUAUACUAAGGGGCGCGAGAUAACUCUCUCUAAGGAACUCGGCAAAAUGACUCCGUAACUUCGGGAGAAGGAGUGCCUUAUUUCUAAGGUUGCAAUAACAAGAUCCAAGCAACUGUUUACCAAAAACACAGGUCUCCGCUAAGUCGUAAGACGAUGUAUGGGGGCUGACGCCUGCCCAGUGCCAGAAGGUUAAAGAAGUUGGUUAGCAUUAGCGAAGCUGAUAACUGAAGCCCUGGUGAACGGCGGCCGUAACGAUAACGGUCCUAAGGUAGCGAAAUUCCUUGUCGGGUAAGUUCCGACCCGCACGAAAGGCGUAAUGAUUUGGAUACUGUCUCGGAGAGGGGCUCGGUGAAAUAGACUUGUCUGUGAAGAUGCGGACUACCUGCACCUGGACAGAAAGACCCUAUGAAGGUUUACUGUAACUUGAGAUUGAAAUUGGACUUUAUUUGCGCAGUAUAGGUGGGAGGCGUUGAGAAUAAUCUUGCGGGAUUGUUGGAGCCAUCAGUGAGAUACCACUCUUGUAAUGUUAGAUUUCUAACUUUGUAUCAUUAUCUGGUCAAAGAACAGUUUCAGGCGGGCAGUUUGACUGGGGCGGUCGCCUCCCAAAGGGUAACGGAGGCGCACAAAGGUUUCCUCUGAACGGGUAGAAAUCGUAUCUAGAGUGUAAAGGCAUAAGGAAGCUUGACUGUGAGACCUACAAGUCGAGCAGGGACGAAAGUCGGUCUUAUGAUCUGACGGUGCUGAGUGGAAAGGCCGUCACUCAACGGAUAAAAGUUACUCUAAGGAUAACAGGCUGAUCUCCCCCAAGAGUUCACAUCGACGGGGAGGUUUGGCACCUCGAUGUCGGCUCAUCGCAUCCUGGGGCGGUAGUCCGUCCCAAGGGUUGGGCUGUUCGCCCAUGAAAGCGGUACGCGAGCUGGGUUCAGAACGUCGUGAGACAGUUCGGUCCAUAUCCGGUGUAGGCGUUAGAAUAUUGAGAGGAGCCUUCUCUAGUACGAGAGGACCGAGAAGGACAUACCUCUGGUGUACCAGUUAUCGUGCCAACGGUAAACGCUGGGUAGCUAUGUAUGGAGUGGAUAACCGCUGAAAGCAUCUAAGUGGGAAGCCCACCUCAAGAUAAGUAUUCUCAUC